RNAcentral lists this microRNA (22 nucleotides) under Anolis carolinensis (green anole). RNAcentral's name for it is "aca-miR-5448". The record is from miRBase by way of RNAcentral. Lineage: Eukaryota; Metazoa; Chordata; Lepidosauria; Squamata; Anolidae.
GACAUGUCUUGUUAGUAUCUGA